GACGAACGCUGGCGGCGUGCCUAAUACAUGCAAGUAGAACGCUGAAGGAGGAGCUUGCUUCUCUGGAUGAGUUGCGAACGGGUGAGUAACGCGUAGGUAACCUGCCUGGUAGCGGGGGAUAACUAUUGGAAACGAUAGCUAAUACCGCAUAAUAGUAGAUGUUGCAUGACAUUUGCUUAAAAGGUGCAAUUGCAUCACUACCAGAUGGACCUGCGUUGUAUUAGCUAGUUGGUGGGGUAACGGCUCACCAAGGCGACGAUACAUAGCCGACCUGAGAGGGGGAUCGGCCACACUGGGACUGAGACACGGCCCAGACUCCUACGGGAGGCAGCAGUAGGGAAUCUUCGGCAAUGGACGGAAGUCUGACCGAGCAACGCCGCGUGAGUGAAGAAGGUUUUCGGAUCGUAAAGCUCUGUCGUAAGAGAAGAACGAGUGUGAGAGUGGAAAGUUCACACUGUGACGGUAUCUUACCAGAAAGGGACGGCUAACUACGUG
Molecule: ribosomal RNA, 495 nt
Filed under: uncultured bacterium
Lineage: Bacteria
Description: partial 16S ribosomal RNA
Rfam family: Bacterial small subunit ribosomal RNA
Source: RNAcentral